AGGGUUUGAUCAUGGCUCAGGACGAACGCUGGCGGCAUGCUUAACACAUGCAAGUCGAACGAGAAAGCUUCUUCGGAAGUGAUUAAAGUGGCGCACGGGUGAGUAACGCGUAGACAAUCUGCCCUUCAGUCCGGGACAACUUUCCGAAAGGGGAGCUAAUACCGGAUAACAAUGUUUAACAUAAGUUGAAUAUUUGAAAGCUCCGGCGCUGAUGGAUGAGUCUGCGUCCCAUUAGCUUGUUGGUGCGGUAGUGGCGCACCAAGGCCACGAUGGGUAGCGGGUUUGAGAGGACGAUCCGCCACACUGGAACUGAGACACGGUCCAGACUCCUACGGGAGGCAGCAGUGGGGAAUAUUGCACAAUGGAGGAAACUCUGAUGCAGCAAUGCCGCGUGAGUGAAGAAGGCCCUUGGGUCGUAAAGCUCUUUUAUGGGGGAAGAUGAUGACGGUACCCCAGGAAUAAGCACCGGCUAACUACGUGCCAGCCGCCGCGGUAAUAC
RNAcentral lists this ribosomal RNA (499 nucleotides) under uncultured bacterium. RNAcentral's name for it is "bacterial SSU rRNA". It matches the Rfam family "Bacterial small subunit ribosomal RNA", at positions 8 to 526 of the family's 1533-position model. The record is from RNAcentral.